GGACCUGACUGCUAUCGGAUUGAUACUAAGCCAUGCGAGUCAUUGUAGCAAUACAAGGCAUACGGCUCAGUAACGCGUAGUCAACCUAACCUAUGGACGGGAAUAACCUCGGGAAACUGAGAAUAAUGCCCGAUAGAACAUUAUGCCUGGAAUGGUUUAUGUUCCAAAUGAUUUAUCGCCGUAGGAUGGGACUGCGGCCUAUCAGUUUGUUGGUGAGGUAAUGGCCCACCAAGACUAUUACAGGUACGGGCUCUGAGAGGAGUAGCCCGGAGAUGGGUACUGAGACACGGACCCAGGCCCUAUGGGGCGCAGCAGGCGAGAAAACUUUGCAAUGUGCGAAAGCACGACAAGGUUAAUCCGAGUGGUUUCUGCUAAAGAAACCUUUUGUCAGUCCUAGAAACACUGAUGAAUAAGGGGUGGGCAAGUUCUGGUGUCAGCG
This 439-nucleotide ribosomal RNA is filed under the name uncultured archaeon. RNAcentral's name for it is "bacterial SSU rRNA". It matches the Rfam family "Archaeal small subunit ribosomal RNA", at positions 19 to 463 of the family's 1478-position model. The record is from RNAcentral.